This 218-nucleotide ribosomal RNA is filed under the name uncultured bacterium. Its description in RNAcentral is "partial 16S ribosomal RNA". It matches the Rfam family "Bacterial small subunit ribosomal RNA", at positions 524 to 741 of the family's 1533-position model. The record is from RNAcentral.
UACAGAGGUCUCGAGCGUUAGGCGGAAUCACUGGGCUUAAAGCGUGUGUAGGUGGAUGCCUAAGUACCUUGUGAAAUCCCACGGCUUAACCGUGGAACUGCUGGGUAUACUGGCGGUCUUGGGCCAUCUAGGGGUUGCCGGAACAAGCGGUGGAGCGGUGAAAUGCGUAGAUAUCGCUUGGAACGCCAAAGGUGAAGACAGGCAACUGGAGAUGCGCC